Molecule: ribosomal RNA, 443 nt
Filed under: uncultured bacterium
Lineage: Bacteria
Description: partial 16S ribosomal RNA
Rfam family: Bacterial small subunit ribosomal RNA
Source: RNAcentral
CCUACGGGGGGCAGCAGUGGGGAAUAUUGGGCAAUGGGCGCAAGUCUGACCCAGCAACGCCGCGUGAAGGAAGAAGGUCUUCGGGUUGUAAACUUCUUUUCUCAGGGAUGAAGCAAGUGACGGUACCUGAGGAACAAGCCACGGCUAACUACGUGCCAGCAGCCGCGGUAAUACGUAGGUGGCAAGCGUUAUCCGGAUUUACUGGGUGUAAAGGGCGUGUAGGCGGGACAGUAAGUCAGAUGUGAAAACCAUGGGCUCAACCUAUGGCCUGCAGUUGAAACUAUUAGACUUGAGUCCUGGAGAGGCAAGCGGAAUUCCUAGUGUAGCGGUGAAAUGCGUAGAUAUUAGGAGGAACACCAGUGGCGAAGGCGGUCUGCUGGACAGCAACUGACGCUGAGGCGCGAAAGCGUGGGGAGCAAACAGGAUUAGAUACCCGAGUAGUC